This 304-nucleotide ribosomal RNA is filed under the name Bacillus paralicheniformis. Its description in RNAcentral is "partial 16S ribosomal RNA". It matches the Rfam family "Bacterial small subunit ribosomal RNA", at positions 1 to 294 of the family's 1533-position model. Lineage: Bacteria; Bacillati; Bacillota; Bacilli; Caryophanales; Bacillaceae. The record is from RNAcentral.
UUUAUCGGAGAGUUUGAUCCUGGCUCAGGACGAACGCUGGCGGCGUGCCUAAUACAUGCAAGUCGAGCGGACAGAUGGGAGCUUGCUCCCUGAUGUCAGCGGCGGACGGGUGAGUAACACGUGGGUAACCUGCCUGUAAGACUGGGAUAACUCCGGGAAACCGGGGCUAAUACCGGAUGCUUAAUUGAACCGCAUGGUUCAAUUAUAAAAGGUGGCUUCGGCUAUCACUUACAGAUGGACCCGCGGCGCAUUAGCUAGUUGGUGAGGUAACGGCUCACCAAGACAACGAUGCGUAGCCGACCUG